UGGGCUUUGAGUCCUGGUGCCCAGG
This 25-nucleotide non-coding RNA is filed under the name Mus musculus (house mouse). The record is from RNAcentral. Lineage: Eukaryota; Metazoa; Chordata; Mammalia; Rodentia; Muridae.